Molecule: ribosomal RNA, 484 nt
Filed under: uncultured bacterium
Lineage: Bacteria
Description: partial 16S ribosomal RNA
Rfam family: Bacterial small subunit ribosomal RNA
Source: RNAcentral
AGUGAACGCUGGCGGCAGGCCUAACACAUGCAAGUCGAGCGGCAGCGCGGGGGCAACCCUGGCGGCGAGCGGCGGACGGGUGAGGAAUUCGUCGGAAUCUGCCUUUUUGUGGGGGAUAACGUAGGGAAACUUACGCUAAUACCGCAUACGUCCUACGGGAGAAAGUGGGGGACCGCAAGGCCUCACGCAGAAAGAUGAGCCGACGACCGAUUAGCUAGUUGGUGGGGUAAAGGCCCACCAAGGCGACGAUCGGUAGCUGGUCUGAGAGGAUGAUCAGCCACACUGGGACUGAGACACGGCCCAGACUCCUACGGGAGGCAGCAGUGGGGAAUAUUGGACAAUGGGCGCGAGCCUGAUCCAGCCAUGCCGCGUGUGUGAAGAAGGCCUUCGGGUUGUAAAGCACUUUUGUCCGGAAAGAAAUCCCUGGAGCUAAUACCUUCGGGGGAUGACGGUACCGGAAGAAUAAGCACCGGCUAACUUCGUG